CCUACCGUGGCUAUGACGGGUAACGGGGAAUUAGGGUUCGAUUCCGGAGAGGGAGCCUGAGAAACGGCUACCACAUCUAAGGAAGGCAGCAGGCGCGCAAAUUACCCAAUCCUAAUACAGGGAGGUAGUGACAAGAAAUAACAAUACAGAGCCUUACGGUUUUGUAAUUGGAAUGAGUUAAGUAUAAACCCCUUAACAAGUAUCAAUUGGAGGGCAAGUCUGGUGCCAGCAGCCGCGGUAAUUCCAGCUCCAAUAGCGUAUAUUAAAGUUGUUGCAGUUAAAAAGCUCGUAGUUAAUUUUCUGUUAAUUUUUAUAUACAAUGCUACGGUAUUUAUAUAAUAUUAACAUAAUUCAUAUUACUUUUUAAGUAUAUGAAACUUUACUUUGAGAAAAUUAGAGUGCUUAAAGCAGGCUAUUGCCUUGAAUACUCCAGCAUGGAAUAAUAUUAAGGAUUUUUAUUCUUCUUAUUGGUUCUAGAAUAAAAAUAAUGAUUAAUAGGGACAGUUGGGGGCAUUUGUAUUUAACAGUCAGAGGUGAAAUUCUUAGAUUUGUUAAAGACAAACUACUGCGAAAGCAUUUGCCAAGGAUGUUUUCAUUAAUCAAGAACGAAAGUUAGGGGAUCGAAGACGAUCAGAUACCGUCGUAGUCUUAACCAUAAACUAUGCCAACUAGAGAUUGGAGGUU
Molecule: ribosomal RNA, 684 nt
Filed under: Cryptosporidium ryanae
Lineage: Eukaryota; Apicomplexa; Conoidasida; Eucoccidiorida; Cryptosporidiidae
Description: SSU rRNA
Rfam family: Eukaryotic small subunit ribosomal RNA
Source: RNAcentral